This is a long non-coding RNA of Rana temporaria (common frog), 1354 nucleotides long. RefSeq lists it as uncharacterized. The transcript has 2 exons. The record is from RefSeq and is a predicted model, not a curated record. NCBI's taxonomy places the organism in Eukaryota, Metazoa, Chordata, Amphibia, Anura, Ranidae.
GUUUGGUUGUAUAGAUCGUACUGCCUAUCCAGACUCGGAAGGAGGUGUGGUUUGGUUGUAUAGAUCGUACUGCCUAUCCAGACUCAGAAGGAGGUGUGGUUUGGUUGUAUAGAUCGUACUGCCAAUCCAAACUCAGAAGGAGGUGUGGUUUGUGGUUUGGUUGUAUAGAUCGUACUGCCUAUCCAGACUCGGAAGGAGGUGUGGUUUGGUUGUAUAGAUCGUACUGCCGAUCCAGACUCGGAAGGAGGUGAGGUUUGGUUGUAUAGAUCGCACUGCCUAUCCAGACUCGGAAGGAGGUGUGGUUUGGUUGUAUAGAGCGUACUGCCGAUCCAGACUCAGAAGGAGGUGUGGUUUGGUUGUAUAGAUCGUACUGCCUAUCCAGACUCAGAAGGAGGUGUGGUUUGGUUGUAUAGAUCGUACUGCCUAUCCAGACUCAGAAGGAGAUGUGGUUUGGUUGUAUAGAUCGUACUGCCGAUCCAGACUCGGAAGGAGGUGUGGUUUGGUUGUAUAGAUCGUACUGCCUAUCCAGACUCAGAAGGAGGUGUGGUUUGGUUGUAUAGAUCGUACUGCCUAUCCAGACUCGGAAGGAGGUGUGGUUUGGUUGUAUAGAUCGUACUGCCGAUCCAGACUCAGAAGGAGGUGUGGUUUGGUUGUAUAGAUCGUACUGCCUAUCCAGACUCAGAAGGAGGUGUGGUUUGGUUGUAAAGAUCGUACUGCCUAUCCAGACUCAUAAGGAGGUGUGGUUUGUUUGUAUAGAUCGUACUGCCUAUCCAGACUCGGAAGGAGGUGUGGUUUGGUUGUAAAGAUCGUACUGCUGAUCCAGACUUAGAAGGAGGUGUGGUUUGGUUGUAUAGAUCAUACUGCCGAUCCAGACUCAGAAGGAGGUGUGGUUUGGUUGUAUAGAUCGUACUGCCUAUCCAGACUUGGAAGGAGGUGUGGUUUGGUUGUAUAGAUCGUACUGCCUAUCCAGACUCAGAAGAAGGUGUGGUUUGGUUGUAUAGUAGUACAAACCCUUGUUGUCCUGGGCAGGCAGCAUGGGCAGUUGGCGCAAGGACUUAUCUGUAUAAGGAGAAGGCAUCUUCCAUGACAUUCUUUGCCCUUCAGCCUCACGCCCAUUGUGGAGAUCCUCUUGUAGCAGUUCUACCACUGUUUAUUUUAUAUUUUUGACUUGUAUUCAUUUGAUUAAACAACACCAGCGUGGUUUUUAUUUAACAUCUGGAUCAGAUAAAACCUGUGUCACAUCAACCUUGAAAUUCAAACAAAACUUUUAAAAAAUGAAAUUACAACAUAUGACUCAUGACCAACGUGUUCGUUCAACAAAACGUGAGCUGGAAUUGUGCAGGUUUGUGAAAAA